UACGUAGGGUGCGAGCGUUGUCCGGAAUCAUUGGGCGUAAAGCGCGCGUAGGCGGCUAGAUCAGUCUGCUGUAAAAGUCAAAGGCUCAACCUUUGAAAGCCGGUGGAUACUGUCUAGCUAGAGUCCGGAAGAGGCGAGUGGAAUUCCUGGUGUAGCGGUGGAAUGCGCAGAUAUCAGGAGGAACACCAACGGCGAAGGCAGCUCGCUGGGACGGUACUGACGCUAAGGCGCGAAAGCGUGGGGAGCGAACAGG
This 253-nucleotide ribosomal RNA is filed under the name uncultured bacterium. RNAcentral describes it as "partial 16S ribosomal RNA". It matches the Rfam family "Bacterial small subunit ribosomal RNA", at positions 524 to 776 of the family's 1533-position model. The record is from RNAcentral.